RNAcentral lists this transfer RNA (64 nucleotides) under Microcoleus vaginatus Pasv-RS27. RNAcentral's name for it is "tRNA-Ile". It matches the Rfam family "tRNA", at positions 1 to 61 of the family's 71-position model. Rfam says of the family: Transfer RNA (tRNA) molecules are approximately 80 nucleotides in length. Their secondary structure includes four short double-helical elements and three loops (D, anti-codon, and T loops). The record is from RNAcentral. Lineage: Bacteria; Bacillati; Cyanobacteriota; Cyanophyceae; Oscillatoriales; Microcoleaceae.
GGGCUAUUAGCUCAGUUGGUUAGAGCGCACCCCUGAUAAGGGUGAGGUCCCUGGUUCAAAUCCA